GGUAGGUAUUUUACUGGCCUAGCCUCCAACCUUUCCAUAGUGAUGGAGGAAGGAAGAUCAGUGAACAAAAAGCAAUUAAAAAAAUAGAAGUACAAGCAACUACAUCAUUCCUUUGGACCCUGAAGUGAACUCUAGUCGCUUUCCUUCUCUACGUUAAUUUCUCUUCAGAAAUAAACCCAAUGAAACUGUCUCCUAUAAAAGAAUAGGAUAUAGUAUAACUUGAAUAAGUUUCAAGAUGGAAGAAAGCCAAGAGAUAAAAGGCGGGGGCUUUCAAUCUAUAUACCAGACAUAGCUGUGAAAGUGCAUAAGGCCUUCUUUAGUAUAUAAUCUCGAUCGAAAAAGGAAUAACUUUCGUCAACCUAUG
RNAcentral lists this long non-coding RNA (364 nucleotides) under Linum usitatissimum (flax). RNAcentral describes it as "long non-coding RNA (LUSI_LNC005140)". Lineage: Eukaryota; Viridiplantae; Streptophyta; Magnoliopsida; Malpighiales; Linaceae. The record is from RNAcentral.